This 253-nucleotide ribosomal RNA is filed under the name uncultured bacterium. RNAcentral describes it as "partial 16S ribosomal RNA". It matches the Rfam family "Bacterial small subunit ribosomal RNA", at positions 524 to 776 of the family's 1533-position model. The record is from RNAcentral.
UACGGAGGGGGCUAGCGUUGUUCGGAAUUACUGGGCGUAAAGCGCGCGUAGGCGGCUUUGUAAGUUAGAGGUGAAAGCCCAGGGCUCAACCCUGGAAUUGCCUUUAAGACUGCAUCGCUUGAACAUCGGAGAGGUAAGUGGAAUUCCGAGUGUAGAGGUGAAAUUCGUAGAGAUCGGGAGGAACAUCUGUGGCGAAGGCGACUACCUGGACCAGCACUGACACUGAGGCACGAAAGCGUGGGGAGCAAACAGG